AUAGAUCAAGAAAGUAUAGAACUAAGCAAAAGGUACUUAUUAAAGAUUGGCCACUUGUGCUUUUGGGAGAGAGCUAAAAUGUAAGGUGUGAAAAGAUCU
Molecule: non-coding RNA, 99 nt
Organism: Vicugna pacos (alpaca)
Lineage: Eukaryota; Metazoa; Chordata; Mammalia; Artiodactyla; Camelidae
Source: RefSeq, a predicted model, not a curated record